Molecule: long non-coding RNA, 557 nt
Organism: Piliocolobus tephrosceles (Ugandan red Colobus)
Lineage: Eukaryota; Metazoa; Chordata; Mammalia; Primates; Cercopithecidae
Exons: 4
Source: RefSeq, a predicted model, not a curated record
CUCACCGAACUCAAACGGUCAACACUGCCUCCUCUGCGUGGCUGGCAGAAAUCAAUAAAUGCACUCGACAUUUUACAUGGAAGAAUACCAAUCAAAAGCAGCUAAGAUGGUUUGAGAAAGAAGAAAAUGGACAUGCUGCUUGCUCCUACAAAGCCGGGUUCUGUGAGUUUCAAAGAGGGGUUCAGAACAUCCCCUCCACCAUAUGAUGGGAUGCUGACUGCGGAGCACGGACCGUGUGCUGCCACCACGUGGAUUCUGCAAAGACAGACCGGCUUAGCCUUCCCAUCUAGAGCCAUCAACACCUCUGCUCUACGGAGUGGGAAACAGAGGCCCAGAGAGAAAAGCACAGUGAGGCCAGUGGAGGACUUCGAGCAGAAGAUAUGUCAUGUUGGCAUAAAAUUCUGUGGGCAAAGUGGUGUGAAAACACAAGGCAAAGGAGAAAACAUUUAAGCCUGUUAAAAAAUAGUCUCUUAAAAAUUGUUGAUGAUUAAAUGACCAUUAUAUUUAGAUUUCGUUGGAUUCAUUUAAAAGACUGACCAGCCUGGCCAACAUGGUGA